AAUGCAAAUAAACUACAAAGAUUACUCUUGCUACACAAAGGACACCUGCACACACUUUACUUACUACUUACCAAAUCAACACACUCAGAACCUAGGAUGACUUUGAAACGAUUAUGCUUAACACAUGCAAACAAACUCUCGAAAAACAACUUCCAUCUAUCGAAACAAACUACAACAAAGAUACAACAUUAUGAUACUUUUGACACUUGAUCGAUUGAGGUGAAGUGACACAGACGAAACACUCAUCACAAACAGGCAAACUACACCACAAGAUACUGACCCUUGACCUUCUUCUUAACACUAACUCAAAGUGCU
Molecule: long non-coding RNA, 315 nt
Filed under: Oryza brachyantha (malo sina)
Lineage: Eukaryota; Viridiplantae; Streptophyta; Magnoliopsida; Poales; Poaceae
Description: long non-coding RNA (OBRA_LNC003517)
Source: RNAcentral